RNAcentral lists this ribosomal RNA (292 nucleotides) under uncultured Verrucomicrobiota bacterium. Its description in RNAcentral is "uncultured Verrucomicrobia bacterium partial 16S ribosomal RNA". Lineage: Bacteria; Pseudomonadati; Verrucomicrobiota. The record is from RNAcentral.
GGACUACAGGGGUUUCUAAUCCUUUUUGCUCCCCAUACUUUCGAGCCUGAGCGUCGGAUCUCGUCCAGCUAGCUGCCUUCGCCGUUGGUGUUCCUCCUGAUAUCUACGCAUUUCACUGCUCCACCAGGAAUUCCACUAGCCCCUCCGAGUCCCUAGACCGGCAGUUUCAGACGCAGUCCCGGAGUUGAGCUCCGGGGUUUCACAUCUGACACACCGAUCCGCCUGCGCUCCCUUUACGCCCAGUGAAUCCGAGUAACGCUUGCAGUCUCUGUAUUACCGCGGCUGCUGGCAC